Molecule: ribosomal RNA, 485 nt
Filed under: uncultured bacterium
Lineage: Bacteria
Description: partial 16S ribosomal RNA
Rfam family: Bacterial small subunit ribosomal RNA
Source: RNAcentral
GAUGAACGCUGGCGGCGUGCUUAACACAUGCAAGUCGAACGGGAUCCAAGGGGUGCUUGCACUUUUUGGUGAGAGUGGCGAACGGGUGAGUAACACGUGAGUAACCUGUCCUUUUCUUUGGGAUAAGCAUUCGACAGGGUGUUUAAUACCUUAUGUUCUGUCUGCCUCGCAUGGGGUGGGUGGGAAAGGCUUUGGCCGGAUUUGGGUGGGCUCGCGGUCUAUCAGCUUGUUGGUGGGGUGAUGGCUUACCCAGGCUUUGACGGGUAGCCGGCCUGAGAGGGUGGUCGGUCACAUUGGGACUGAGAAACGGCCCAGACUCCUGCGGGAGGCAGCAGUGGGGGAUAUUGCACAAUGGGCGAAAGCCUGAUGCAGCGACGCCGCGUGGGGGAUGAAGGCCUUCGGGUUGUAAACUUCUUUUGCUCUGAACAAGGCAAGCCAGUGGGUGUGUGGAGUGUAGGGGUUGAUGAGCGCCGGCUAACUACGUG